RNAcentral lists this unclassified non-coding RNA (230 nucleotides) under Hevea brasiliensis (rubber tree). Lineage: Eukaryota; Viridiplantae; Streptophyta; Magnoliopsida; Malpighiales; Euphorbiaceae. The record is from RNAcentral.
CUGGUGAUCACUUUGGCCCCAUUCAUGGGUUGGCAUGUCAGACCUUUCCAAGGGAGGGGUAGACAUGGGUCUCCUGACCAACUCUGCAACAGUUGAUUUUCUUUAUUAUGCGAAAGCAGUUCAUCUCUCACCAUCUUUAUUGUGUCCACGUCUUGCUGGUUAGUUCCUUGAAUCCAUGGGUACACUUGAAGGAUCUCAUAAGCAUUUAAAAUGGGCCCAAAGACAGACCU